CUGCAGCCAACAAAGCCAACUGUGCGGCCUCCCCAUGGAGAGUCUGGUGUGCGACAGUAGCAAACAGUGGCCUCCUCAGUAGUGUACGCGGCCUGUUGCUUGUAUGUGUUGCCUUACAGGACCCUAGACACAGCC
Molecule: small nucleolar RNA, 135 nt
Filed under: Neogale vison (American mink)
Lineage: Eukaryota; Metazoa; Chordata; Mammalia; Carnivora; Mustelidae
Description: Neovison vison (American mink) Small nucleolar RNA SNORA70 (ENSNVIG00000021985.1)
Rfam family: Small nucleolar RNA SNORA70
About the family: snoRNA U70 seems to be exclusive to mammals and is a member of the H/ACA class of snoRNA which contain H (ANANNA) and ACA box motifs. H/ACA box snoRNAs are involved in the conversion of uridines to pseudouridines (5-ribosyluracil) a constituent of structural RNAs (transfer, ribosomal, small nuclear, and small nucleolar).
Source: Rfam by way of RNAcentral